This 382-nucleotide ribosomal RNA is filed under the name uncultured eukaryote. RNAcentral's name for it is "partial 18S ribosomal RNA". It matches the Rfam family "Eukaryotic small subunit ribosomal RNA", at positions 592 to 976 of the family's 1831-position model. The record is from RNAcentral.
UGUAAGCGUAUACCAAAGUUGUUGCAGUUAAAACGCUCGUAGUCGGAAUUUGGCAGUUCCGGAUGUGUGCACGUCGUGUGCGCACUUCGCGGGGAUUGCUUUUGUGGUCUUGCGUAGGAUGAGGCACUUUUAUUAGUGAACGUCCUCACGCAACCACUUUUUACUGUGAGAAAAUCAGAGUGCUCAAAGCAGGCAUUUGCCGUGAAUGUAUUAGCAUGGAAUAAUAGAAUAGGACUUGGUUCUAUUUUGUUGGUUUGUUGGGACUGAGUAAUGAUUAAGAGGGACAGUUGGGGGCAUGUGUAUUUCGGUGCUAGAGGUGAAAUUCUUAGAUUACCGAAAGACAAACUGCUGCGAAAGCGUCUGCCAAGGAUGUUCUCAUUGA